GACGAACGCUGGCGGCGUGCUUAACACAUGCAAGUCGAACGGAAAGGCCCUGCUUGCAGGGUACUCGAGUGGCGAACGGGUGAGUAACACGUGGGUGAUCUGCCCUGCACUUCGGGAUAAGCCUGGGAAACUGGGUCUAAUACCGGAUAGGAGCCAUUUUUAGUGUGAUGGUUGGAAAGUUUUCUCGGUGUAGGAUGAGCUCGCGGCCUAUCAGCUUGUUGGUGGGGUAAUGGCCUACCAAGGCGGCGACGGGUAGCCGGCCUGAGAGGGUGGACGGCCACAUUGGGACUGAGAUACGGCCCAGACUCCUACGGGAGGCAGCAGUGGGGAAUAUUGCACAAUGGGCGCCAGCCUGAUGCAGCGACGCCGCGUGGGGGAUGACGGCCUUCGGGUUGUAAACUCCUUUCGCUAGGGACGAAGCUUUUUGUGACGGUACCUAGAUAAGAAGCACCGGCUAACUACGUG
RNAcentral lists this ribosomal RNA (465 nucleotides) under uncultured bacterium. Its description in RNAcentral is "partial 16S ribosomal RNA". It matches the Rfam family "Bacterial small subunit ribosomal RNA", at positions 28 to 507 of the family's 1533-position model. The record is from RNAcentral.